GAAAACAUGACUGAAUUAUAGAUAUUGAAAUACAAGCACGAACUUGUCAGAUUUAUGACCGUUUAUUGAAAUUAAAAAGUCGACUAACAUACGCAUUUUAUUUAUGCAAGCCCUUUGAUUUUACCCAUGGCUGUCUUUUUAUGUUGACAAACAGCAAAUGUCCCAAUACACCCAAAAAGAGUCAUUAAACAACAACUUUUUUUUUUAUUAUUAAGUUCAUGUUUUACAUGAUAAUUAUAUUUUCAUCUUGCAUAUAAAGUACCAACCCUAUUAUUUUCAACACUCUCUGAGUUUUCAUUUUAUUCUCUACUCAUAAUAAUUGUGUUGCAUACCAAUGCAUUUGCUUCAUUUUAUGGGAAUACAAACCAUUGUUUAGAAACCCAAAUACAUUUGGUGUAGGUAGUCUAACUGAAGAGAGUAUUUCUCAC
This 428-nucleotide long non-coding RNA is filed under the name Mytilus galloprovincialis (Mediterranean mussel). The record is from RNAcentral. Lineage: Eukaryota; Metazoa; Mollusca; Bivalvia; Mytilida; Mytilidae.